This is an RNA transcript of Malus domestica (apple), 436 nucleotides long. It is a transcript of the gene named choline/ethanolaminephosphotransferase 2-like, with no coding region annotated. Lineage: Eukaryota; Viridiplantae; Streptophyta; Magnoliopsida; Rosales; Rosaceae. The record is from RefSeq and is a predicted model, not a curated record.
ACGGGUAUGUUGCAUUUGAUAUUACGUUGCGAGCUCUUUCAAGUGGAAAUGUUAUUCUUGUGUUGUUGAUGGUCUUGACGUUUCUCAUGUAUUGAACUUCCUGUGUUUGCAGAGUUCCUUGGGUCGAUGAGAGCUUGGUUCUUCUUGGUUACUGUGCAUUUACAGUCGUUCAUGAGAUCACAACCUUUUGUUUUAGUUUUCGUUUCAGACGCGCUUGCAAAGUCGAGAAUGGUGCAGCUCAAGGGAGGUUUCUUGUCGAUACAAAAUGCAAACAGGGGAUAUCGACAUUUGCCUGUUUUCGAUACAAAACGUAGCUUUAUGUAUACAUGACAGGAACGUAGUCAUGAACAAUGAUGAAUAAUGUGAUGAUACAUGAUACUGAAUCUUCGCCAUGGUCUCACUUAAAGAAAUGAAACCACCGUUGUGGUUGCGGUUG